GAUGAACGCUGGCGGCGUGCCUAAUACAUGCAAGUCGAGCGAACAGACGAGGAGCUUGCUCCUUUGACGUUAGCGGCGGACGGGUGAGUAACACGUGGGUAACCUACCUAUAAGACUGGGAUAACUUCGGGAAACCGGAGCUAAUACCGGAUAAUAUUUCGAACCGCAUGGUUCGAUAGUGAAAGAUGGCUUUGCUAUCACUUAUAGAUGGACCUGCGCCGUAUUAGCUAGUUGGUAAGGUAACGGCUUACCAAGGCAACGAUACGUAGCCGACCUGAGAGGGUGAUCGGCCACACUGGAACUGAGACACGGUCCAGACUCCUACGGGAGGCAGCAGUAGGGAAUCUCCCGCAAUGGGCGAAAGCCUGACGGAGCAACGCCGCGUGAGUGAUGAAGGUCUUCGGAUCGUAAAACUCUGUUAUUAGGGAAGAACAAACGUGUAAGUAACUGUGCACGUCUUGACGGUACCUAAUCAGAAAGCCACGGCUAACUACGUG
RNAcentral lists this ribosomal RNA (497 nucleotides) under uncultured bacterium. Its description in RNAcentral is "partial 16S ribosomal RNA". It matches the Rfam family "Bacterial small subunit ribosomal RNA", at positions 28 to 507 of the family's 1533-position model. The record is from RNAcentral.